RNAcentral lists this long non-coding RNA (226 nucleotides) under Nicotiana benthamiana. Its description in RNAcentral is "long non-coding RNA (NBEN_LNC041666)". The record is from RNAcentral. Lineage: Eukaryota; Viridiplantae; Streptophyta; Magnoliopsida; Solanales; Solanaceae.
CUCCAUCACCCUCCUUUCAUCAGGAGAGGAUGUAUCCUCAAGAGGAGUAGGUUGCUCGGUCCGAAGAGCAAGGUCAAGAUCCAUGCAACCCAGAACGAUCAUGACGUUCUCUUUCCAUUCCUUAAAGUUUGUGCCGUUAAGCAUAGGGAUGUUGUUGAUGUUGGCAGAGAUCGUAGAAGCAGAAGAAUUAACUGAAAAUAGAAUAAAAGGAUUACUGAAUACAUGC